GACGAACGCUGGCGGCGUGCCUAAUACAUGCAAGUAGAACGCACAGUUUAUACCGUAGCUUGCUACACCAUAGACUGUGAGUUGCGAACGGGUGAGUAACGCGUAGGUAACCUGCCUGGUAGCGGGGGAUAACUAUUGGAAACGAUAGCUAAUACCGCAUAAUAUUAAUUAUUGCAUGAUAAUUAAUUGAAAGGUGCAAUUGUACCACUACCAGAUGGACCUGCGUUGUAUUAGCUAGUAGGUGAGGUAACGGCUCACCUAGGCGACGAUACAUAGCCGACCUGAGAGGGUGAUCGGCCACACUGGGACUGAGACACGGCCCAGACUCCUACGGGAGGCAGCAGUAGGGAAGCUUCGGCAAUGGACGAAAGUCUGACCGAGCAACGCCGCGUGAGUGAAGAAGGUUUUCGGAUCGUAAAGCUCUGAUGUAAGAGAAGAACGGGUGUGAGAGUGGAAAGUUCACACUGUGACGGUAUCUUACCAGAAAGGGACGGCUAACUACGUG
This 505-nucleotide ribosomal RNA is filed under the name uncultured bacterium. Its description in RNAcentral is "partial 16S ribosomal RNA". It matches the Rfam family "Bacterial small subunit ribosomal RNA", at positions 28 to 507 of the family's 1533-position model. The record is from RNAcentral.